GUAGGUCAAGUUUGGACCGAACUGGGUGACCAAUCUCUUUGUGUUUAUUGUUUUCUUCUUCCCUCUCCUUGUAUCUUGUGAUUGUUGCUUUGUGUUUCACACUUGUUUCCUAGAUUAGAUCUAGGUGGUGUUUUGUUGUUUCUUGCUUGCACAAUAAACUUUGUUAGGUGGUUACCACUCUCCGUCGCUCCACACAUCAUUAUUCUUUGUAUUUCAAAUUCUAUCAAUUUUAUAGGUCUCCAAAUUUAGGGCGACAAUGGAUUCAAGGAGAUAUUCCCUGGGAUAUGUUGAGAAUGCCACCUCCAAAGACAUUUUUAGUGGAUUAUUAUGAGUAUACUGAUUUGGAUGAAUUGAAACCAGGAGAUCUUAUUGAAAUUCAAAAUAGAAGAAGGAUAGGAUUCCCUAUUUGUGGUAACUAAUAAUCAUUUCACUUUAUCAUAUACUCUCAUCCAAUAUUCAAUAAUACUUAUAUAUAUAUAUAUAUAUAUAUAUAUAUAUAUAUAUAUAUAUAUAUAUAUGGGAUUUGUUAGAACACAUCCACUACUUUUUUUUUUUGUGGGAGUGUUCUAGCAAGCUACACCUUAAGGUGUUUUUAACUACUUUUUAGUUAUAGCUUGCUAAAACAUACCUUCUGAAAAAUAAGUGGGUGUAUCCUAGAAAAUGCCUAUAGGAGUUGCUAACAUACACCCACUUAUAUUUUAGAAUGUGUGUUUUAGAAGCAUUCAUCUUAAGGUGUAAUUAACAACUUUUUAGUUAUAUCUUUGCUAAAACACACCUUAAUAAAAACUAGUGGGUGUAUUCUAGCAAACCCCAUAUAUAUUUAUAUAUAUAUAAAACUUUACGGUGCGUAUAAGUGAGGUGUUUGGGGUUUGAACUCCGGCCUCUGCAUAUAACAAUGUAUGUCCCUGACAACUGAGUUAUGCUCACGGGGACGAGUGGUAACUAAAUUUAAUAGCUAAUUUAUUUAUUUUCUAAUGAUCAACAUAUAACAAUAUUAAACUUCCUUUCUUUCUUCUUCAAAUCUUCUCACAUCCUUUUACAGUAUUAAACUUUUUGUUCUGCCAAAAUAACAAUAUAAUGCAUGCUUAAGUAGUGGUCACAUAUAAACUAUAACAUAAUCACAUGUAGCAGCAUAGAAAAACUUGCAAUGAUAUCAACAAUCAUAGAGCAACAUAAAAUAGCAAAACCAAAUAUUGUUGAACCAAAAGAUAAAAAAUAUGCUCAGAAAUGAGCAACAAACCAGAACAAUCCAACAAGUUCUUUUUAAUUCCUUAUGUAUAUGUUAUUUCUAUAGCUAAUUGCCCAAUUCUUGAGUCUCCUUCCUACAAGAAGCAUACCUU
RNAcentral lists this long non-coding RNA (1340 nucleotides) under Medicago truncatula (barrel medic). RNAcentral describes it as "long non-coding RNA (MTRU_LNC006780)". Lineage: Eukaryota; Viridiplantae; Streptophyta; Magnoliopsida; Fabales; Fabaceae. The record is from RNAcentral.